Non-coding RNA from Triticum aestivum (bread wheat), 124 nucleotides. The record is from Rfam. NCBI's taxonomy places the organism in Eukaryota, Viridiplantae, Streptophyta, Magnoliopsida, Poales, Poaceae.
UUAAUACCCCUUCCAUCCGGAAAUACUUGUCCCAAAAAUGGAUGUAUCUAGACUUACUUUAGUUAUAGAUACAUCCAAUUUAUCCAUUUUGAGAACAAAUAUUUCCCGACGAAGGGAAUACCUA